This 547-nucleotide small RNA is filed under the name Arabidopsis thaliana (thale cress). Its description in RNAcentral is "ATSL261290". Lineage: Eukaryota; Viridiplantae; Streptophyta; Magnoliopsida; Brassicales; Brassicaceae. The record is from RNAcentral.
AAAUAAACUUUAAUCACUAUCUUCUGAUCUCGUUGAUGAUACAUCACUAUCAAUAUCUUCUAAUUCUUCUUCAUUCUCUUGAAAGAAUUCUUUUUGUCUAUAUCCGGCUCUGGUCCAAUCGUCAGAUAUGCUUGAGCUUCAAGAGAAUCUGGACUCAUUCUUGAUCGAGUUUUAUCUAGUAUUUGACCUCCCAUGCUAAAAGCUCGCUCGACGGAAACUGUAGAAACGGGUGAAGAAAAAACGUCUUUUGCGAUCAUGGUUAAAUUGGAUAUUAAGAUUGGUGACUCUUCCACCAAUGAAUGUUUUGAAAGUUAUUACCUGCAUCUGCAUCACUAAACUCAAAAUUAGUAGAUAAAUAUUUUUCAAGUUUUGCAUUAUUAUCUUGUGAUGGUCAUUGCGUUUUACGUCGCCGCAUUCUUUCUGCAAGACUUAACGUAGAAGUUUAUGACAUAUCAUUUUGUAGAGAUGAUUCAGUUCCUUGUGGUACCAAAUGCUCAUAUAAUCUAUAAUAUUCAUCAUACAAAUUUUCUAUGUCUUUUCUUGAGUU